UUCAGUUGUGCCAGUUUCAUCCUAUUUCUCAUUCACACAGAUGCUUAUUUAUUUUACGUUGCUCAAAAAACUAUACUGGAUAUAAAAAAGCUUUGUAAAAUGUUGUUUAAUGUAUUUGAGUAUAAGAGGAAGCUUUAAUAGGAAGUUGUGACAACCAAUUGCGACAUCACAGGAUACUACAACUCCUGGCUCAACAUUAACUGAAAGAAGAAGCAGAAAAGCAAGGCAUCAACAGCAGACAUUUUUUCUGAGCAAAAACAUCCAAACUUGGUUAUCAAGUAAAUUUGGAUCACUGGUCGACCUGAGGAAAUCAAACCGUUCUUCCCAAAGAUCAAGCCUGGGUGAGUCUAGAUGAGUGAUCCAGCUAAUGAGAGUGAACUAAAACAAGUAAGUGUUGAAAAUGCUUUACUUGAAGAGCGUUCUGUUCAGACAACUGGCUUGCACAGUGUCACCUGCUGUCUUGUACUACAUAAAAUCCCCUUCAGUAAGGACACUGACCACCGGAAAUUAGCCAUAUGCAGCAUCGUAUGUGGACUCUCCUGCAUUGGCAUUAUGUCUCUUAUCUACUCUGUCAAGGCUCGAGAGACAAGAAAAACACUUCAAAAUGAAGAUCAAUUGGGAGCACAGCAGAAUGUGAAGGUUAAGGAGUACUCAAGAAAAGCUUUGAAAUGGGGAAUAUGGUCCAUUGUAGUCUGGGUGGGUUUAAUU
Xyrauchen texanus (razorback sucker) is the source of this 708-nucleotide long non-coding RNA. RefSeq lists it as uncharacterized. The transcript has 3 exons. NCBI's taxonomy places the organism in Eukaryota, Metazoa, Chordata, Actinopteri, Cypriniformes, Catostomidae. The record is from RefSeq and is a predicted model, not a curated record.